AUGAAAAUGAAAUGGGGAAUAUCUUGCAAGAGAUCACAGAAAUGCAAGCUACUGCUGUAGAUGGGGGGAGAAGACAUGUAAUUUCAUCGUGCAAAAAUAUAACGAUUGGCAUGGAGUGUGCUAGAGCCAGGAAUGUCACUGUGAAACAUGAGAAUGAUGAGGAUAGCCGUAGACAGCCUCGUGUGCUAGACAUUGACGGGGAGUGUGCGAGGAAGCUCCAGAAAGAGCUGGACGAGGAAUUUGGCAAAUGAUGAUCAGGUUGCAUGUAUGUAUCAGAAGAUGUAUGACCAGAAUGCCACUGACAAGCAAAUCAGGGUGGCGACCACACAUCAUGGUCAGGGAACAGGGGCAGGUGGUCAUAGAGCAUCAGACGUGGGAGUUCAGACGAGGUUGGACGAUUUUUUCCACUGUCGGACUGGUCUGGGCAGACAAUGAACCACUGAAGGACGGAGAUGUGUCAUUCGGAAGAAACGUAAGUGCAGCAAGAAAUCAAGAAAGGGGAGGGCUAAACAACGAGGUUCUCAAAUAUUGUUCAGACGAUCUGUCCAACAGAAAGCUCUGAAUCAGAUGACAGCAGCACAGAUGACGGGAACAUUGCUUACUACAUAGAGUUGCCAACAUCGAGACGAAAUACUAUGCCAGUGAGGUGUGGGUGGGUGGCAGCAGAUGUGGGGCGAGUUGCUGCGCCUGCUGCAGAGGUCGCAAAUGUUUCCGUAGUCAAUAAUCCUGGUCAAUAAUAAUCCUGAACAUUCAACUGGUUACACUUACGAGAGGACAACAAGUGAAUGUCCGAAUAACCUCAACAGCAUGCUUGACAGAUAUACGAGAUGUUGGUGCUGGACAGCAGCCUGUGGCAUCAUUCUCCGCUGAAUCAUCACUAUUUAUGUUGCUAGGAAUCUGUAGGUUGGCAUCGCCCGUAUCCCCUUCACAGCUAUCUUCAUCGGACAUGUUGGGUCUGCAACA
This is a long non-coding RNA of Triticum dicoccoides, 963 nucleotides long. RefSeq lists it as uncharacterized. The transcript has 7 exons. The record is from RefSeq and is a predicted model, not a curated record. NCBI's taxonomy places the organism in Eukaryota, Viridiplantae, Streptophyta, Magnoliopsida, Poales, Poaceae.